CGUACGCUUUUAGUUUGCCCUCGUCGCCGCAACACUCGCCAACAAAAACACAAACGAAAUCUCUCUCCCUCUAUGUCCAUUUGUUUCUGAGCGACCGAUCGAGUUGAAGAUCUGUGAACUCGAAGAAGCAGAAGGAAGAUUUUGUCUCUCUAGAAUCUGGAUUGUGACGGCGUAGUGUGUGUUCGGCUAUGGGUGAUAACUCAAAGAAAGAGUUGGUACAGCUGAUCAAGAGAUUUGGGGCUUAUCUCAGCCUCAAGAUGUCCAAUCUCUUUUCCAUCUCCCUCAACAAUCUCGAUUCUCGAUCUGUUGGGGCUGUGGCAGGGCUUGCCAUUGCAAUACUGUUUACUUGGAGGCUAUUGAGAUCACCUAGUGGACCUCAAAGAAGACAACCUAAACGACAAGCACCUACAUCUAGUAGUUCUGGUGUAAGUAAUCAUUCAAAUACAAAUUUGACAUCUUCUGGAGUUUGCUCUCCUUCAGAAGAUUCAAGAGCACAAAAUGUUAUUGAUGAGUUCUUUCAGCCCGUAAAGCCAACUCUAGGACAAAUAGUUAGGCAGAAGUUGAGUGAAGGAAGGAAGGUAACGUGUCGGUUGCUUGGUGUAAUCCUUGAGGAAACUAGUCCAGAGGAGCUUCAGAAACAAGCUACUGUGAGAUCCUCUGUGCUGGAAGUACUGCUGGAGAUUACAAAAUUUUGUGAUCUUUAUCUCAUGGAAAGAGUUCUGGAUGAUGAAAGUGAAAAAAAGGUUCUCCUAGCUUUAGAAGAUGCUGGGGUUUUUACAUCUGGCGGCUUGGUCAAAGAUAAGGCUUUCACAAUCCCAAUGAAGGGGGCAAGUUUUUUCCACACCACCUGCAAUGGAUUUCAGGGCAGGACUGGUGUUGGUUCCUCCGAUCCUGAUCCCUACCCCAAGCCAAGACCAAGAAAAGGGACAAGAAACAAAUUGGUCAUAGGUUAUAUCUUUCAACUUUCAGAUGAGAGUUAGUUGUCCCUUGAAAUAUCUGGAGAUGGUUACCCCAACUUCAUGGAUUUUACCUUUAGGCUCCGUUUGUUUUGACGUAAAAUGGUUUUGUCAAAAAUAUUUCACUUAGUUUCCUUUGUUUGGUUGAACAAAAAGCAAGUAAAACGUUUUGUAAGGAAAAUAUUUUUGCAUCAUUUUUUCAAAAUGACUUACUUUUAAAAAUUCCGUUAGAUUUUACAAAGUUGACUCUCACUCACUAUUUUUUCAUCACAUUUAGCAUUUUCAAAUAAAUAUCUUAGCUCACUAAAACGUCAUAAAUGACACUUUAUUGAAUCAAAUUUCUCUUUUAGGCAAUAAAAUGUUUUUGUUUAAAGUGUCAAUCAAACACCGAAAAAACAAAAUCAAAAACAUUGUGUGUAAAAUCAAUUUACAAGAAAAAUAUUUUACGUCGAAACAAACUGAGCCUUAGAUAGAAUUGCAAAGGUCCUCUGAUGUUAUAAUCCUUUCAUAGUGCCAGAUCUUUGAUAUUCGUGGAGCUUUUCUGAAAUUUUGAAAAAGGAAUACUAUGAAGUUUUAGUGAACAUUUUUAUCAGGCGGGGAAAAUUUCCAUAGGUUCUCUUUUGUGGCACAGAAAAUGGUCGGACAUCUUUCGUUCGGCAACUGGAGCCAGAUUGGCAUAUUGACUCAAAUCCUGAUAUCGUUUAUCAACUAGCGCGGUUCAUCAAAUAUCAGCUUCACAUUUCUCCCAUAAAAC
This is a non-coding RNA of Camellia sinensis, 1710 nucleotides long. The record is from RefSeq and is a predicted model, not a curated record. NCBI's taxonomy places the organism in Eukaryota, Viridiplantae, Streptophyta, Magnoliopsida, Ericales, Theaceae.